Long non-coding RNA from Saccostrea echinata, 441 nucleotides. RefSeq lists it as uncharacterized. NCBI's taxonomy places the organism in Eukaryota, Metazoa, Mollusca, Bivalvia, Ostreida, Ostreidae. The transcript is spliced from 4 exons. The record is from RefSeq and is a predicted model, not a curated record.
AAAGAUUUAGUAUCAACCCCUGGAUUUCUUUUAGGGAUACAGAAGUACAGGAGAUGCUCAGCAAUCUGGCAAAGAAGGCUGGCUGGACAUGAAAUGUUAUGGGGGUUAUGUCUAGCUUUGGAUCCACUGAAUUCACAUAUUACAGAAAUCGGAUCAGAGCAAAGCUGAUGGGUAACAAAGAAGUUGAUGUAGAGGAUCCCUCCAUUAAGUCUCUACAUAAUUAUCGAGGAAAAUGUUUCCUUCCUCCUACAAUUAUGCUAACAAAUCCAGAGAGGGAAUACUUCACACUGAUGCUAGUAUGAAAACAAGAUUAUUCUGUGCCACAAACAAAUUGUUCAGAAAGGGGACAUUGGUGGAUUUGCAUUUUGGGUACAGUUCAAAGAAUUUUCAAUAUGAUGGUGGAAGAUCAGAGGGAGGACAAAUGGGAAAAGUUGACAGAGA